UACGUAGGGUCCGAGCGUUGUCCGGAAUUACUGGGCGUAAAGAGCUCGUAGGUGGUUUGUCGCGUUGUUCGUGAAAACUCACAGCUCAACUGUGGGCGUGCGGGUGAUACGGGCAGACUGGAGUACUGCAGGGGAGACUGGAAUUCCUGGUGUAGCGGUGGAAUGCGCAGAUAUCAGGAGGAACACCGGUGGCGAAGGCGGGUCUCUGGGCAGUAACUGACGCUGAGGAGCGAAAGCGUGGGGAGCGAACAGG
This 253-nucleotide ribosomal RNA is filed under the name uncultured bacterium. RNAcentral describes it as "partial 16S ribosomal RNA". It matches the Rfam family "Bacterial small subunit ribosomal RNA", at positions 524 to 776 of the family's 1533-position model. The record is from RNAcentral.